AAAAAGAUAUCUUAGAGCAACCAAAUAAAUACCCAACUGGAAAAGCUUCUUUUUCUUUAUCCUUUCUUAUUGGUAAUAUUGAUGCCUCUAUUGUUAUUAGAUUGAAAGAAAACAAAAACAGGGCUUACUUUAGGCAGAAGAUGCGGAGAACGACGGGACUUUUCCUCCAGGCAAGUGACUGUCGAUGGGCAGGAAAAAGCAAAACUCUGACCUUGUCCUAUAACCAGCACGGGAGAGAGAGUGACACUCCAUCCCAGAUUGACACUUGGCUGAAAUAUUUUGUCUUGUGAAAGAUAAAAAUGCCAUGUGGUAGUUGAAACCAAAGGCCCCGAAUGCUUUCUACUUCCAAUGAGUCUCUUCGUACAGCAGGAAGAAGAGGGGCCGUGCUCUAGCAGGAAGGUCACCAAGGA
Molecule: long non-coding RNA, 410 nt
Filed under: Theobroma cacao (cacao)
Lineage: Eukaryota; Viridiplantae; Streptophyta; Magnoliopsida; Malvales; Malvaceae
Description: long non-coding RNA (TCAC_LNC003539)
Source: RNAcentral